UCAAAUUCGAAGCAGGAUUAUGCAAAUCAUCAGUACCUUUGGGUUUGAUAAAGGUACGACACACAACACUUGACUGAGAGGUAUCGAGAACAAGAGGUACAAACCUAAAGUCAUAGGAAAAGUCCGGAUACUACCUAAUGAGGCGUCCUCAUUAUCAUCCAAGUCAUCAAAAUCUUCAAAUUUAGAUUCAUAGACUAGAUCUUUUAACGGCUAAUCUAUUACAUUCUUUCGUUCUUCCAUGGUUAAGGCUCG
RNAcentral lists this long non-coding RNA (252 nucleotides) under Olea europaea subsp. europaea. The record is from RNAcentral. Lineage: Eukaryota; Viridiplantae; Streptophyta; Magnoliopsida; Lamiales; Oleaceae.